Long non-coding RNA from Photinus pyralis (common eastern firefly), 733 nucleotides. RefSeq lists it as uncharacterized. The record is from RefSeq and is a predicted model, not a curated record. The transcript has 2 exons. NCBI's taxonomy places the organism in Eukaryota, Metazoa, Arthropoda, Insecta, Coleoptera, Lampyridae.
UGGUUCUUGUGGCUAAAUGUAUAGUUUCCAUUAAUUAUUGCCAAGCAUGUUGUUAUGAUGAUACAUCGCAUGCUUGAUCUAACGGAAUACCAUACCGAAUUAAUUAUAAUAUAAUUAAUAAUUAAUGUUAUAGCUCGUCUAAAUUUCGUUCCUAAUUUAAGUAAGAAGUAAAACCGGAUCAGAAUAAUUGAUAUAUAAAAUUCAAAACUUCAGCGGGAACACUGGAACAAAGAUGCCAAACAUCAUCCAAACCCCCGUGCAUCCCUCCAUGUCUGAUAGCUGCACUCAAUAGGCGAUCAUUUAUGAAUCCGAGGAGAUGGAAGGUGCGACAUACCGCCGCCGUCGAGGAUGAAACCUUCCAUCUUAUUACCCCUGACGACAUGAGCGCUGGGAUUGGAUUCCUUCCAACCCACUAGAACCUGCAAGUGUCGUGGGAAACUGACCACACCUUACAAAUUGCUUGGGGCGAAAGAGAACCGUGCAUGCGAACUAAAAGUUCUCGAAGGCAGCGAAAAGGAAAUGGUCAGACUUUAAGUACGUCGAGUAAUAAUAAAAACCAGCAAUUAACACGAAGUUUCGUUUAAAUUUAAUUUUAGAUUUAAGUGGUGUAGUAGCUGUUAAACUUUGCCACCACGAAUCCAGUAAAUUUAGGGUCUUGUGUAAUUUGAGCCAGUUGAAAGUGUGAUUUCAAAAUUGUUAAAAUAGAUGCAAUUAAAUUUUGUUUGGGACUCUA